AAUUGACUAAAGUUGAACAACCCUUAUUAUUAUUUCUUCAGUAGCCGUCACUCCCAAAAACUCAUUUUCUCUCUUCCCUCCUGCUCUCCAUCUUCUCUUGUGGUUCUCUGGUUUUUCGGUCUAAUGAGCUUGGAUUUGGAUUAUUGGAAGUUUUCGGCCAUCUAGUCUCUUCGUUGUUCACUCCAGUACACGAGGUAAAACUGACGACCAUUGAUUGCGGCUCAUCCUGGAAAUUUUCAUUAAAGAAAAUGGAAUCUCUGAUAUCGAAAAUGAUGAGGUACAUGAUCAACUAAAUGGUGUAGGGAGGAAGAAUGAUCUUGUUAUUGGAACGCAAUUCUUGGUGGAGGAUCAGGCUGACAACUUGGUUUUUAAAUUACUUAGUGAUCUUUUAUAGGUUGUAAUUUUUACUUUAUUUUGCUAUAUUUAAAUGUAGGUGAAUAGGUUAGGAAUAUAGGGUAGAACGUCAAUUAAUUUGGGGAAGCUUUGUCCGCAAAAUCGGACAAUAAUGUAAAACUAUAGAUCUUUUCUAAUGUACGAACUAUUUUUGUAAAAUUUUUGUUACUGUUAUAAUUAUUUUAUUUGUUAUGAACAUUAUAUAAUUA
Molecule: long non-coding RNA, 602 nt
Organism: Spinacia oleracea (spinach)
Lineage: Eukaryota; Viridiplantae; Streptophyta; Magnoliopsida; Caryophyllales; Amaranthaceae
Exons: 3
Source: RefSeq, a predicted model, not a curated record